RNAcentral lists this ribosomal RNA (492 nucleotides) under uncultured bacterium. Its description in RNAcentral is "partial 16S ribosomal RNA". It matches the Rfam family "Bacterial small subunit ribosomal RNA", at positions 29 to 507 of the family's 1533-position model. The record is from RNAcentral.
AGUGAACGCUGGCGGUAGGCCUAACACAUGCAAGUCGAACGGCAGCACAGUAAGAGCUUGCUCUUACGGGUGGCGAGUGGCGGACGGGUGAGGAAUACAUCGGAAUCUACUUUUUCGUGGGGGAUAACGUAGGGAAACUUACGCUAAUACCGCAUACGACCUACGGGUGAAAGCAGGGGAUCUUCGGACCUUGCGCGAUUGAAUGAGCCGAUGUCGGAUUAGCGAGUUGGCGGGGUAAAGGCCCACCAAGGCGACGAUCCGUAGCUGGUCUGAGAGGAUGAUCAGCCUCACUGGAAUUGAGGCACGGUCCAGACUCCUACGGGAGGCAGCAGUGGCGAAUAUUGGACAAUGGGCGCAAGCCUGAUCCAGCCAUACCGCGUGGGUGAAGAAGGCCUUCGGGUUGUAAAGCCCUUUUGUUGGGAAAGAAAAGCAGCAGGUUAAUACCCCGCUGUUCUGACGGUACCCAAAGAAUAAGCACCGGCUAACUUCGUG